RNAcentral lists this unclassified non-coding RNA (341 nucleotides) under Linnemannia exigua. RNAcentral's name for it is "sequence contains 5.8S rRNA gene". The record is from RNAcentral. Lineage: Eukaryota; Fungi; Mortierellomycota; Mortierellomycetes; Mortierellales; Mortierellaceae.
GAACGCACAUUGCGCCCUUGGGUAUUCCGAAGAGCAUGCUUGUUUGAGUAUCAGUAAACACCUCAAAGCUUUUGAUCUUUUUCAAAAGUUUUGGACUUGAGCAAUCCCAACACCAGUCUUUUUCGGACCGGUGGCGGGUUGCUUGAAAUGCAGGUGCAGCUGGACAUUCUCCUGAGCUAAAAGCAUAUUUAUUUAGUCCCGUCAAACGGAUUAUUACUUUUGCUGCAGCUAACAUAAAGGGAGUUUGACCGUAUUGGCUGACUGAUGCAGGAUUUCACAAGGGUCGGCAACGAUUCUUGUAAAACUCGAUCUCAAAUCAAGUAAGACUACCCGCUGAACUU